This 253-nucleotide ribosomal RNA is filed under the name uncultured bacterium. Its description in RNAcentral is "partial 16S ribosomal RNA". It matches the Rfam family "Bacterial small subunit ribosomal RNA", at positions 524 to 776 of the family's 1533-position model. The record is from RNAcentral.
CACGGGGGGAGCAAGCGUUGUUCGGAAUCACUGGGCGUAAAGGGCGUGUAGGCGGUCAGGUAAGUGGGAUGUGAAAUCCCUCGGCUCACCCGAGGAUCGGCAUCCCAAAGUGCUUGGCUUGAGUAUGGGAGAGGAUGAGGGAAUUCCUGGUGUAGCGGUGAAAUGCGUAGAUAUCAGGAGGAACACCGGUGGCGAAGGCGCUCAUCUUGCCCAAUACUGACGCUGAGGCGCGAAAGCUAGGGGAGCAAUCGGG